Molecule: long non-coding RNA, 693 nt
Organism: Panicum virgatum (switchgrass)
Lineage: Eukaryota; Viridiplantae; Streptophyta; Magnoliopsida; Poales; Poaceae
Exons: 2
Source: RefSeq, a predicted model, not a curated record
CUCGGCUUCCCCCUCCUACCAGGCACCCGACUCCACCUCCAUGCCGAUUCCCCACCCACGCCGUGGGCGUCUGUCCUCCCCAGCCGCUCCGGCCGUCCGUCUCCGGUCUCCCCCGCCGCCGCCCGCUCAGGCCGCCGCGCGCACAAGGUUCCGGCUCCGCCGCACCGGCUCCUGGCCGCCCACCCCAUCAGUCCGCCGCGCCGCCCGCCCGCCCGCCCCGGCCACUCGCGCCCGGGCCGCAGGGGCGCCGUACCGCCGUCGUUCCGCUGCGCAGGCAGGGCGCUAGGGGUGAGCGCACUCACGCAAGCGUGACAGCCAUCACCUCAGCCGACAGAGCAAGAAACCAGCUGCGCCCAGCCAGCCACUGAACCAAGGGAAUUCUUAUUGCAAAUAAAGGAUGAGGGUAUUAUAAGUAUUUUCAAGCCAUGAAGGAACGUGAAAGGGAAUUCUUAUUGCAAGUGAAGGAUGAUGACAUUAUUAAGUAUUUCAAGCCAUGAAGAAAUAUAAAGUUAUCUUGUAAUUUGUAAGCAUUUUUAUCAAUGUCAUUUGUUGUUUUAGAAUUUUCGCAUCUAUUUAUUUCAGAUAUUUCCACUUUGAUAUGUUGAUCAUGUAGUACGUCUAUUAUAUCUAUAUGUUGAACAAUUUCAAAUUAUGAACAAUUUGUGUUAUCGGUACUCAAUUAUGUGCUGCUAA